This 1432-nucleotide ribosomal RNA is filed under the name uncultured organism. RNAcentral's name for it is "partial small subunit ribosomal RNA". It matches the Rfam family "Bacterial small subunit ribosomal RNA". The record is from RNAcentral.
GUCGGCGUGCUUAACACAUGCAAGUCGAACGGAAAGGCCCUGCUUUUGUGGGGUGCUCGAGUGGCGAACGGGUGAGUAACACGUGAGUAACCUGCCCUUGACUUUGGGAUAACUUCAGGAAACUGGGGCUAAUACCGGAUAGGAGCUCCUGCUGCAUGGUGGGGGUUGGAAAGUUUCGGCGGUUGGGGAUGGACUCGCGGCUUAUCAGCUUGUUGGUGGGGUAGUGGCUUACCAAGGCUUUGACGGGUAGCCGGCCUGAGAGGGUGACCGGCCACAUUGGGACUGAGAUACGGCCCAGACUCCUACGGGAGGCAGCAGUGGGGAAUAUUGCACAAUGGGCGGAAGCCUGAUGCAGCAACGCCGCGUGCGGGAUGACGGCCUUCGGGUUGUAAACCGCUUUCGCCUGUGACGAAGCGUGAGUGACGGUAAUGGGUAAAGAAGCACCGGCUAACUACGUGCCAGCAGCCGCGGUGAUACGUAGGGUGCGAGCGUUGUCCGGAUUUAUUGGGCGUAAAGGGCUCGUAGGUGGUUGAUCGCGUCGGAAGUGUAAUCUUGGGGCUUAACCCUGAGCGUGCUUUCGAUACGGGUUGACUUGAGGAAGGUAGGGGAGAAUGGAAUUCCUGGUGGAGCGGUGGAAUGCGCACAUAUCAGGAGGAACACCAGUGGCGAAGGCGGUUCUCUGGGCCUUUCCUGACGCUGAGGAGCGAAAGCGUGGGGAGCGAACAGGCUUAGAUACCCUGGUAGUCCACGCUGUAAACGGUGGGUACUAGGUGUGGGGUCCAUUCCACGGGUUCCGUGCCGUAGCUAACGCUUUAAGUACCCCGCCUGGGGAGUACGGCCGCAAGGCUAAAACUCAAAGGAAUUGACGGGGCCCCGCACAAGCGGCGGAGCAUGCGGAUUAAUUCGAUGCAACGCGUAGAACCUUACCUGGGUUUGACAUGGAUCGGGAGUGCUCAGAGAUGGGUGUGCCUCUUUUGGGGUCGGUUCACAGGUGGUGCAUGGCUGUCGUCAGCUCGUGUCGUGAGAUGUUGGGUUAAGUCCCGCAACGAGCGCAACCCUUGUUCACUGUCGCCAGCACGUUAUGGUGGGGACUCAGUGGAGACCGCCGGGGUCAACUCGGAGGAAGGUGGGGAUGACGUCAAGUCAUCAUGCCCCUUAUGUCCAGGGCUUCACGCAUGCUACAAUGGCUGGUACAGAGAGUGGCGAGCCUGUGAGGGUGAGCGAAUCUCGGAAAGCCGGUCUCAGUUCGGAUUGGGGUCUGCAACUCGACCUCAUGAAGUCGGAGUCGCUAGUAAUCGCAGAUCAGCAACGCUGCGGUGAAUACGUUCCCGGGGCCUGUACACACCGCCCGUCAAGUCAUGAAAGUUGGUAACACCCGAAGCCGGUGGCCUAACCGUUGUGGGGGAGCCGUCGAAGGUGGGACUGGUGAUUA